GAUGAACGCUGGCGGCGUGCCUAAUACAUGCAAGUCGAGCGAACAGACGAGGAGCUUGCUCCUUUGACGUUAGCGGCGGACGGGUGAGUAACACGUGGAUAACCUACCUAUAAGACUGGGAUAACUUCGGGAAACCGGAGCUAAUACCGGAUAACAUGUUGAACCGCAUGGUUCAACAGUGAAAGACGGUCUUGCUGUCACUUAUAGAUGGAUCCGCGCCGCAUUAGCUAGUUGGUACGGUAACGGCUUACCAAGGCAACGAUGCGUAGCCGACCUGAGAGGGUGAUCGGCCACACUGGAACUGAGACACGGUCCAGACUCCUACGGGAGGCAGCAGUAGGGAAUCUUCCGCAAUGGGCGAAAGCCUGACGGAGCAACGCCGCGUGAGUGAAGAAGGUCUUCGGAUCGUAAAACUCUGUUAUUAGGGAAGAACAAAUGUGUAAGUAACUAUGCACGUCUUGACGGUACCUAAUCAGAAAGCCACGGCUAACUACGUG
This 497-nucleotide ribosomal RNA is filed under the name uncultured bacterium. RNAcentral describes it as "partial 16S ribosomal RNA". It matches the Rfam family "Bacterial small subunit ribosomal RNA", at positions 28 to 507 of the family's 1533-position model. The record is from RNAcentral.